ACCCAGGCGCAUGGCUCCAUGAAGCAAGAGGAGGAGGCAGAGCGCGAGAGAUCCCGUCCGCCCCAGCCGCGUCUGGGCCAGGAGAAAAGCAAAACCAUAUUCCUGCUGCUGUCAGUUUUGAUGCACUGAGAAAACUUCAGAGACCUAAGCUUUUUCCAGAGAAGAGAAGCUUUACUGGUGUUCCAGCCCUAAGAAACUUAAAUCCUCAGUGUGACACAACUCAGUCCUUCUACUGCAGCAGCUCUUUUAUAAAAGCCUCCCAAAGCUCCAAGAAGGAACAAAGAAUGUGACCCAGUAAGCUCACACCAUAAGUCUAUAUUGCAGAAACCUUUGUUCAACAAAACUGCAGAUGCUCUGUUGAAUCCACUGGAGAUUGUCCUGAUACUAAGGACAAGUAUGCUCAUAUGACAUUAACAGACAAGACACUUUUCAGAAAGACAGAUGGAGUCUCUCUGUCACCCAGACUGGAAUGCAGUGGCAUGAUCUUGGUUCACUGAAACCUCUGCCUUUCUGGUUCAAGCAAUUCUCAUGUUUCAGCCUCCCAGGUAACUGGAAUUACACGCACACGCCACCUCGCCUGGCUAAUUUUUGUACUUUUAGUAGAGACACAGUUUCACCAUGUUGGCCAGGCUGGUCUCUCAAACUCCUGACCUCAAGAGAUCUGCCUGCCUUGGCCUCCCAAAGUGCUGGGAUUACAAGCGUGAGCCACUGCACCUAGCUGGUUAUGCAUAUUUUCAAGUCUAUUGAUACCUAGUGCCAGGAACUUGAUUUCAAGAAGAAAUAUAUGUUGUAUGAAUGCAAGGGCUGUGUUUGCUUUUGCUCACCUGUUUCUGCAGUGGCCAGGCUUUUUGUCACAUUAAAGGUACUCAGUAAAACAUUUGCUCAAUGAAUAAAUGUAUGGCACCUGCCACUGAAAAUUAAGAA
Molecule: long non-coding RNA, 924 nt
Filed under: Homo sapiens (human)
Lineage: Eukaryota; Metazoa; Chordata; Mammalia; Primates; Hominidae
Description: HSALNT0359037
Source: RNAcentral